GAGGAACCACAGAACUUCCCCUGAGGCUACUUUGGCUCUUGGGGCCUCUAGCAUGGGCCAGGCAUUCAUGUCUCAUUUGCAGCCCAUCGGGAUCCUUAUGAAACUGUUUUGAAACUAAAGUAAGAGAGCAUAUCAGGAAGUAUUUUGAAAACAAAAAUAGCAUUUUCACACAGCCUAUUAUCAUAAUUCAAGGCUAAGAUGUCACCGCUAUGAAGAACAACCCCAUCGUUAUGUAAGCAAUGAGUUCAUCUCGUUACUGGGGAUGUUCCAGAGUCCCAGGAUCCGACAGGGUCAGAGCGCCCAGACAGUUUUCUCUGGUGUUUUCUACUUUCAUCCUCCGAGCUUUUGUCUGUGGACAAGUGUGAGCGUCGCUGUGAUGGGGCCGCGUGACCCUCGGGCAGAGACGACAGAACCUGCAAAACAAGAGACAGGGGCAUCUGAAGGGGCAGGGAAAGAGCCUGAGUCUUCGCAGACUCCCAGCCUCCCUGGCUCGGGAAGCAGGCCACAAAAUGACUGCUGUGGUUCCAGACAUUACACUCUCACUUAA
This 547-nucleotide long non-coding RNA is filed under the name Fukomys damarensis (Damara mole-rat). RNAcentral's name for it is "lncRNA (ENSFDAG00000028150.1)". Lineage: Eukaryota; Metazoa; Chordata; Mammalia; Rodentia; Bathyergidae. The record is from RNAcentral.